UUGGACAAUUGACUCAAAGGCAGGUGUCAGCAAUUCCUUCGUUAUGUCAUUAUCAAUUAAGCAGAUAAUAUAUAUGGUGUUAUUUUUUGAGCUUAAGAGGGCAAAGGGGGAAAUGGAAGCAGCUCAUGUGUGGUCCUUGUGUGGAAGGCACCUUGCAAAAAACAAACAUGGAGUAGCUGCAAAUAGUCCUCAUAUGAUAUAGAUGUUAAAUGUCUUUCUAUGUUUCUGUCCAAUAGUUAUUGAUUAAUAUGUCCCAAGAGGGGGUGAUUUGUUCUAUUAUAGGACCACAGAAAAUCAGAAGAAAAUGGUGGCAAUAGUGUUUUGCUAUAUUUUUUUUUUUUUUUUUUUAAAGAUUUUGUUUUAAUACCUCCAAAUAUUUGAAAUUACUAUAUGCCUCUAUGUAAGCAUAUUAGUAAGCAUUCCAUACCACUAUUAUUGUUGAGUUCCUUAGUUUUGGUUCAGUUGGUGGAUAAGUCCAAACAUUUUGGAAACCGAAAGCAGGAAAAGAUUUGCCGCGCUAUGUUUGACCACAAGCAUUUUGAGACCACACCCCCUAAUUACCAUGUCCAUUUUACAAGACUUGCCAGGUUAUAAAAGUUUGAACACAUUUCUGUGGUUUUUAGGUGUUAUUACAGUUUUGCUAAUGAAGGUGAAUUGCCCUUUAAGCUGCAAAUCAGUUUCGCCAAGAGACCACCUUGUCUCAAAACUGUUACAAAAGUAUAUUGAGUAUCUAUUCUGGGCUCUCUGCCAAAAGUCCGUUAAGUUAGAAACAUUGUAUCUUUUUCUGAUCAGUGCAGGAGAUCAAAAGAAAGUUGGGAAUGGUGGUCAAAGUUUUAUUUUGCACCUUCAGGUAUGCAUUUCUUGGGGGAGUUGUUAAAAAUAUAUAUAAAAUUAAAUUUGUUUCUCUACUUACAUUUGUGAAGGUAGGUGGAUCUUUCUUGACUUUAGUAGUGAUGUGUGAGUCUAGAAAAAAAUCAACCUUCACCCGACCCUAACCUGCUCCUGGAGAACCCACACCCGACGCUAACCUGCUGCGAUCUCUUUAUAUACCCACGACCACCCCACGGUUAUGUCACGAAAGGGGGCAGGGCACGCCAGCGUGAAUAUAUAAAAAGAAUUGUGUCCAGGCAGAAGUGGGGCAGUAGAAGGUUGCAGACCAGGUGGACACAGGCUAAAGUUCCUGUGGGCUUCAGGUUGGCCACACAUCGCUAUUGAGUGCCACCUUAUUGGUUUGAAAUAUAAACCAAAAUCCCGUUUUAAUUAUGUGUUCUUUUUUGCACAGUUGGUAAGGCCUAUAGCAGAGACAAAAAUGUGUUCUCUUCAGCUCAAAACUAUAAGCCUGUUUAAACUGAAAAAAUGUUAUCCUGGUAGAUAAAAUGCAUCAUUAUUAUAUGCUUUUUGCACUCCUGCAAGAAAGACCAAUUGCUGAAAGGGGAAUACUGAAGAUUUUUUAGAAUUAGUACAGAAUUUUUAAUUGAUUCUACUUAUGAAGUUCCUUAAUUCUGUGUAAGUACAUUUGUGUUAAAAAUGACAGUGACAGGUUUAAGUUUUGCUGGUAUGUUCUGUGCUGGUAUGUUUUUUUUUUUUAAUAUACCUUUUGGGACAAAAAAAAACUGGGAAUUUUUCACUUUCCACAAGGUGAGGUUUCAUAUUGGUUUAAAGGUUUUUCUGCACUUUCUUCCACAGAUUGUGUAUAAAGGUUCUCCUGCACCUUUUCCAACAAGCCAUGCAUCUAGGCUUUCCUGCAGCAUUCCCUACAAACAUCUCUGCUGAUGAAGAGGACCCCAUGGCACAAAGCUAUGAUGAUCGCUUCAUCCCAAAUAUGGAGACUAACUGCUCCACUGGUGUGCUUCUCAUACACCAAAACAUCCAAACUCUUUCGUGCCGUUUGGCGCCUGCAAUGCAAGGUAACCUAACACCCAAUGCUUUAUAGAUCCAAUGGACAGUACAGGGGUUAGGUCGCUGUCACAUGCAAAAGUCUAAAUUGUAAUUGUUGUCUGUGUGCACUUUACUUUUGUUUAUCAUUCUUAAAGGUAAUGACUUGUAGGCAGAUUACUUUCUAUUGUUAUAUAAUACACUUCAGUAAUCUUGUCUAGUACAAUCAGUAUAUGCAGAGCUGUUAGUCUGGCAAAUAUGAGAGGAGCUGGUGUGCCAAAGGACUUGUGGAAAUAUCUUAAUGUUACUUAUAACCACCAGCCUGACCUUGAGCAUUUGUUGCUUCACUUAUGACUGUUCUGAAUGGAUAUAUUGGGCACAGUGAGACAUAUUUAUCAAUAUCUGAGUUAAAGUGCCAGUACCAAUCAAAGAGCAGGGAAUCUAAGGUGUCCUAUAAAUUCAACAAAACCCCUAACAUGUGGCUAUUUUGUCAUAACAACAGACAUAACAACAGAUAUACUUGAAAGCUUCUUUGUUUCCACUAGGUGUGGUAUUUCUCCCCUCAAUUUUUGUAACCUUUAUGGUCAGUUCCUGUACCUCGUCCUUGGUACUAGCAUUCAAUUGAAAGUGUAGUUGGUGGAACAGACCAAGGUAGACGCAGAGCUUUGCUGCAAAAAAUCAUUUUAUUCACACAACAUGUUUCG
Xenopus laevis (African clawed frog) is the source of this 2579-nucleotide long non-coding RNA. RefSeq lists it as uncharacterized. The transcript is spliced from 4 exons. The record is from RefSeq and is a predicted model, not a curated record. Lineage: Eukaryota; Metazoa; Chordata; Amphibia; Anura; Pipidae.